GUAUUCUUAUGUUCUGCAUGCUGAGCAAAGAAAAGAAAGUGAUUUUGUGAAGAAAAACCAAAAGAAUGCCAUGAGACACCAUGAAAAAAAAACCCUAAUCAACCAACCAAAAUUGUCAAACCAAACCAAUGGAUUGUCAAAUAACAUAAGAAGAUUCCAAAGCCAAUUAGGACAUCACUGGCAGAAGAAACCUGUGAAUUAGGGUUACCAUCACCUUCUUAUGCUUAUACACUGGAAGCUGUGAAUCCAGAUGUACUGACACAUCAUCAUCCUUAAUGAAGGUCAGGGUCUGGACUACCAAAGGCAGUUGAAGAAAAUUCCACAUACUCUAGAAAGGCCAAGAUUUCUCUCAGGUCAGACUGUGAUGGAAGACACAGGGCAUAAAGAAAGGAGGCAUGGACAAACAGAUAAAAGAGGAUGCUGUUGCUUUCAUAUUAGAAGGAGGAUGGGCAUGUGAAAGAAAACUGAAGCAAGAGCCCUGUCGGAGGAAUCCAGACUGAGUACACACAACUUUUGAGAAGAUUUACAAGAACUGGAGUCAGUGAAGAUCUCUCAGAGUCAGGCAUUGGGAAUUGGCACAACUUAUGUCUGUACACUAAAACUUUAAUCUUUGAAACAUUUUAAGUAAGAUAUCUAAGAAUGUAAAGUUUAGCUAAAUACUAAUAUACAACCAUUUUAUUUGGAUUUGAGCAGUGCUAUGCUAAUGAGGAGUACAGUACAUGUUAGUAAAAUACCAAGGGAAGAAUAAGGAAUUAUGCAGAGUGUGUGGAUAUGAACUAAAUAAUAUAUUCGAAGUAGCUGAGGGCUAUCUGAGGGGCAUAGAAAUUAAAAUGGAUGAUUUUAAGAUAAUUUUUGAAUAACUGAUGGGAAAAAUGGUUCCUGCUUGUUAGGAUGAGUUAGCAGAGACAGGAGGGAGAGGAUGACACUGCAUUGAUAUUUUCAGCAUGUGUAUGUAGAUGUUUUAGGGACACCUAGAGAUACCUGGCAGAGGUCCAGUCAUAAACAUUUGACAAUGACAAUUUUGUCCUAGAUGACUAAUAUGUCAUGCAAUGAAUGGGAAUGGUGGGGGAAAUGCCUUAGUGUCAGGAAAAGAAGAUAAAAUGUCCUUGGGAGGCUCCAGAAGAAAAGUACCAGUAGCUGGGCAAGAGUCAGAGCUGGGUGGAGAACUGGGGCAAAUGUACCUUGUGGUCAGUAGAGGACACAAGCAGGUGAGAAUGACCAGUGAAAGAAGCUGAUCAGUUUACUGUGCAGAGAAGUCUGGGCUGAUAUUAAGCAUUUCUCAGCUUCUGUCCCAUCUAUGUCUGCAUACACAUUCUCCUUCCAGAUGAUUUUUGUCUGUCAAAAUCAAAAGGGAAAUAGCAAUAUCUGAGCUCUCUGGCAUUUUGGGGAUAUCAGGAGUGAAAAUGCAGGCCAGCAGCAUGCCUGUCAUUCCAUGCUAAAAGUCAAAAAGGCAGAUCAGCCUGCAUGUGUGAAUAUCCUGUUAUGUGUCUGAGACUUGGAAACUUAGUUGUUUUCUUACUUCAUAGCUUUGUAACUGCCACACUGUCAGUCUGAAGUGAUUUUAAAAAUAUCACUUUUGUAGUUAGGAAGUAAAAUGGGAUUUAUUCAGCUUUGGUACCCACUCACUGUUCAUGAAAACAUAUAUCAAACAUCUCUAACUUGCUAAUUUCACAAACUUUGAUCUUGUGCAUUCACAUGAAUGCAAGGAAAUGAUGGGGACACAAAUUUUGCCUUUUUUUACUUUUUCAUUAAGGGAAAAAAAUCUAUUUAGGUAUUAAAUAAAGAAUAAGUGCACCAUUUUGGGACUGAAUCAGCUACAUUAUCAAAUUAUGGAAACUUGUAAAAAAUAGAAACUAUGAUGGCAUAAAAAAAUGGAAAGUCUUCAUGAGAAACUUGGUAUUAUACUAUUCCUAACCAAAAAACUGAAAAUGUAAAGAAAUCUUUGGAGAGCAAAUAAAACCCCUCAAAACAAACCCCAAUGUUUUGUAAAGUAUUAUGCUUGCAUUUUCAGAGAGAGCCCAUAGAUACGUAGUCAGAGUUCAGAUGCUGGUCCUUCACUCCUUUAGGGGAUGAAGAAAUACUAAGCUCCCAAGGCACCAGGGCCAACUACAGCUAGUGAGUCAUGAUCAUGCACUAGAGUCAUCCACUGCUGUUACAAAUUGGUGAUUUGUCUCUCCUUAGCCUAAUCAAAUCAUUAAUAAAUGGUGGUGAACAAAAGGUGUUAUAGAAGCUGAGAAAAGUAUGAUAUCCAAGCCUUUAUAUGGGUUUCCACACAGACCGGAAGCCCAUAUAUUUCCUCAUGUAUUGCCUAGGUCUUGAAAGCACAAAGUUGUCAGAUUCAAAUGAUGAAAUGUUUUUAUCCAGCUGCACUGUCCUUCUCUGCUGUUAAAUUGUUAAUUAACAACUUAGGAGCAUGCAGUUUUGAAGUUGAUAUAAGGCAAUAUUUUUUAAAAUGUUGAUUUACUGUCAUGUCUGAACAUGAUAAACCAUUGAUUUUUAUAACAGGGCAAGGAUGUAUCAUCAGGAAUCUCUGUAUUUUUUUCUCUGAAAAUAUAAUUUGUCAUAUCUUUCAACAGGUAUAAAUCAGCAAAGCUUUAAACCAUUUGUUGUAGUCUGCCAGUGAACACUAGCUGAAAAUCUAGCCCACUUUUAAGUGGAUUAAAAUAAAAUGUAUGGAGAAGACUGAGUUCUAAAAGCUGUAUUUGCUGCUUGAAAUAUCUGAGAAAUUAAAAUAAUGAAACAUAAAUCUCUGGACAUUGAGAAGCCACAGCUACUACAUACAGGGUAGUAUACCUUCCUUUUUCAUAACACUGGAUUGAAUUUUUCAGCAGAUAUAUACUGAUGUUAUCAACCUGAAAUGAAGUUAUGUUUGAUUUCUCAAGCUUUUCAGUUUUUAUAACUUUUUGUGUCUAAACCAAAU
Molecule: long non-coding RNA, 2920 nt
Organism: Corvus hawaiiensis (hawaiian crow)
Lineage: Eukaryota; Metazoa; Chordata; Aves; Passeriformes; Corvidae
Exons: 5
Source: RefSeq, a predicted model, not a curated record